UCCUUCGAAGAGUCGAGUUGUUUGGGAAUGCAGCUCAAAAUGGGUGGUAAAUUUCAUCUAAAGCUAAAUAUUGGCGAGAGACCGAUAGCGCACAAGUAGAGUGAUCGAAAGAUGAAAAGCACUUUGAAAAGAGAGUUAAACAGUACGUGAAAUUGUUGAAAGGGAAGCGCUUGCAAUCAGACCUGCUUUCGAUUGAUCAAUGUUCCUUCUGGUUCAUGCACUCUUUCGUUGGCAGGCCAGCAUCGGUUGGAGCGGUGGGACAAAGACUUCAGGAAUGUGGCUCUCUUCGGGGAGUGUUAUAGCCUGUUGUGCAAUGCCACCAGCACCGACCGAGGUCCGCGCUUUUUGCUAGGAUGCUGGCUUAAUGGUUGU
RNAcentral lists this ribosomal RNA (372 nucleotides) under uncultured Orbiliaceae. Its description in RNAcentral is "LSU rRNA". It matches the Rfam family "Eukaryotic large subunit ribosomal RNA", at positions 253 to 641 of the family's 3401-position model. The record is from RNAcentral. Lineage: Eukaryota; Fungi; Ascomycota; Orbiliomycetes; Orbiliales.